Molecule: ribosomal RNA, 563 nt
Filed under: fungal sp. HAB17S5
Lineage: Eukaryota; Fungi
Description: eukaryotic LSU rRNA
Rfam family: 5.8S ribosomal RNA (bases 177-330)
Source: RNAcentral
GCGCCCCAGAAACCCUUUGUGAACUUAUACCUAUUAUCGUUGCCUCGGCGCUGGCUGCCCUGCCCCCUCGGGGGCGGGGGCCCCCUUCUCCGGAGGGGACAGCAGAGCCCGCCGGCGGCCUACUUAACUCUUGUUUUUACUGAGUAUCUUCUGAGUAAAGCUUCUAAAUGAAUCAAAACUUUCAACAACGGAUCUCUUGGUUCUGGCAUCGAUGAAGAACGCAGCGAAAUGCGAUAAGUAAUGUGAAUUGCAGAAUUCAGUGAAUCAUCGAAUCUUUGAACGCACAUUGCGCCCUCUGGUAUUCCAGAGGGCAUGCCUGUUCGAGCGUCAUUUCAACCCUCAAGCCUAGCUUGGUGUUGGGGCAUUACCUGAACUGUUUCUUUACAGGAGGGUAAGCCCUGAAAUUCAGUGGCGAGCUCGCCAGGACUCCGAGCGCAGUAGUAAAACCCUCGCUUUGGAUCGUACUGGCGCGGCCCUGCCGUAAAACCCCCAACUUCUGAAAAUUUGACCUCGGAUCAGGUAGGAAUACCCGCUGAACUUAAGCAUAUCAAUAAGCGGAGGAA